GGGGUCGUCUGACGGGUCGCUCCCAACCCAAUGUGAACGUUACCAAACUGUUGCCUCGGCGGGGUCACGCCCCGGGUGCGUCGCAGCCCCGGAACCAGGCGCCCGCCGGAGGAACCAACCAAACUCUUUCUGUAGUCCCCUCGCGGACGUAUUUCUUACAGCUCUGAGCAAAAAUUCAAAAUGAAUCAAAACUUUCAACAACGGAUCUCUUGGUUCUGGCAUCGAUGAAGAACGCAGCGAAAUGCGAUAAGUAAUGUGAAUUGCAGAAUUCAGUGAAUCAUCGAAUCUUUGAACGCACAUUGCGCCCGCCAGUAUUCUGGCGGGCAUGCCUGUCCGAGCGUCAUUUCAACCCUCGAACCCCUCCGGGGGAUCGGCGUUGGGGAUCGGGACCCCUCACACGGGUGCCGGCCCCGAAAUACAGUGGCGGUCUCGCCGCAGCCUCUCCUGCGCAGUAGUUUGCACAACUCGCACCGGGAGCGCGGCGCGUCCACGUCCGUAAAACACCCAACUUUCUGAAAUGUUGACCUCGGAUCAGGUAGGAAUACCCGCUGAACUUAAGCAUAUCUAAAGGGGGAAGGGAAA
RNAcentral lists this ribosomal RNA (582 nucleotides) under Trichoderma asperellum. RNAcentral describes it as "eukaryotic LSU rRNA". The stretch from base 190 to 343 matches the Rfam family "5.8S ribosomal RNA". The record is from RNAcentral. Lineage: Eukaryota; Fungi; Ascomycota; Sordariomycetes; Hypocreales; Hypocreaceae.